This 440-nucleotide ribosomal RNA is filed under the name uncultured bacterium. RNAcentral describes it as "partial 16S ribosomal RNA". It matches the Rfam family "Bacterial small subunit ribosomal RNA", at positions 338 to 795 of the family's 1533-position model. The record is from RNAcentral.
CCUACGGGGGUCAGCAGUGGUGGAUAUUGCACAAUGGGGGAAACCCUGAUGCCGCGACGCCGCGUUUGGGAAGACGGUCCUCUGGAUUGUAAACCACUGUCCCCAGGGACGAAGCUGACGGUACCUGGGGAGGAAGCUCCGGCUAACUACGUGCCAGCAGCCGCGGUAAUACGUAGGGAGCAAGCGUUGUCCGGAAUUACUGGGUGUAAAGGGAGCGUAGGCGGGAUGGCAAGUUGGGUGUUAAAUCUACCGGCUCAACUGGUAGUCGAACUCAAAACUGCUAUUCUUGAGUGAAGUAGAGGCAGGCGGAAUUCCUAGUGUAGCGGUGAAAUGCGUAGAUAUUAGGAGGAACACCAGUGGCGAAGGCGGCCUGCUGGGCUUUUACUGACGCUGAGGCUCGAAAGUGUGGGGAGCAAACAGGAUUAGAUACCCGGGUAGUC